ACACCGCAUACCCACAUCACCAUGUUGGGCUACAAUGAAAACCGCGUGACCAGGAGGUUGAAGUACAAAGCGACGAGGAGCGGAAUGCAGAUCGUUUUCCCGCCCAUGGCCGAAGUGAAGAGCCAGUGGGCGUGGGUGCUGGUCAUGGCCGGGGUCACGCCCGCUUAGGCCUGAGGUCAAGGACGAGGUCAAGGACGAGGUCAAGGACAAGGUCAAGGAAGAGGUCAAGGACAAGGUCAAGGAGAAGGUCAAGGACGAAGUCAAGGCUCCUUCUGAACUGCUCCAUGUUUGUUAAUGAUUCUGUGUUUGGACAUUCGAAAUGGCUGAAUGUUUCAUUUUGUAUUUGCGAGAAGGUGUUUAAUAUUCUUUUAAAAAAUGGGUAGUGCUGAGUAAUUGACAUAUAAUUUGACAAAAAAAUAAAGAUACGGGUUGGAAAAUGUUAUCAAAGGUAGAUAGAAAUAUGGAAAUGCUGAGUAUAAUGAAAUAUAAUGGAGAGAAGAAACACUAUGUAUGCAGAUACAUAUACAAAUUCACAUCAAAAUGGUAAAUAGCCAUGAAACAGCAAUGAUAAAGUUUACCCUAGAAAA
Long non-coding RNA from Penaeus indicus, 587 nucleotides. RefSeq lists it as uncharacterized. The transcript has 2 exons. NCBI's taxonomy places the organism in Eukaryota, Metazoa, Arthropoda, Malacostraca, Decapoda, Penaeidae. The record is from RefSeq and is a predicted model, not a curated record.